This 293-nucleotide ribosomal RNA is filed under the name uncultured prokaryote. RNAcentral's name for it is "partial 16S ribosomal RNA". It matches the Rfam family "Archaeal small subunit ribosomal RNA", at positions 455 to 747 of the family's 1478-position model. The record is from RNAcentral.
GUGUCAGCCGCCGCGGUAAUACCAGCCCCGCGAGCGGUCGGGGUGCUUACUGGGCCUAAAGCGCCCGUAGCCGGCUCGGCAAGUCUCCCCCUAAAGCCCCGGGCUCAACCCGGGGAGUGGGGGAGAUACUGCCGGGCUAGGGGGCGGGAGAAGGCCGAGGGUACUCCCGGGGUAGGGGCGAAAUCCACUAAUCCCGGGAGGACCAUCAGUGGCGAAGGCGCUCGGCUGGAACGCGCCCGACGGUGAGGGGCGAAAGCCGGGGGAGCGAACCGGAUUAGAUACCCGGGUAGUCC